CCUUUCCUUCAUUUCAGACGCAUACAUUCAUUCCUUUCAACCCUCUGACGGCUUCGAAACUCUCACGAAUCUCUAAACUCAGGUAUAAGUACCGUGCGAAUUUAGAGGCCUUGCAUUGAAGAUGGACGAUAACCGAUAGCAACAGAAAUCUCUCAGACGCAAUAUCGCUUUUCUUUCUCGCGUUCUCGCUGCGUUGGAACUUCCUGUCGUCACUUAAUUCUUACACGUGUUUCAUGUGUUAAUAUUAGAAUACGAAAAUAUUUUACCGAACCUUCAACAUCGGUACUUCUUCAUUGCGCUAAUUUCAAUGCCAAACACGACGCAACCCACGCCGUUUCGCUUAUAUUUUCCUUCGAAAUUUCUGCAUCUAUCUUAGGCAGAUUCCUGAAUCCUAAGCUUUACGCAUAUAUGUGUAUAUGUAUAUCUAUUUGUACGAAUAGAAUGUCGUAUUCCACAGCACAUUGAGAAGGUUCUUCUCUUGCUUUGCAAACAAUUCCAUGUCGAGCUUAAUUACAGUCAUCCGUGGUUUAAUGUCUCUCGAAGUAGGAAAAAGAGGAACAGAGAGGAGUAUUUUGCAUCACGCCAUGGUAUCAGGGGCACGCAAACCUAGCCUUCUUCUUCUCUUUUUAUUUCUUUUUCCCUUUCUACUUCUUGUUAUGCGUUCGUCUUUCUCUUAUUUUUUCUAGACGGAACUGCGAGUUAACCAGCACUAAAAAUAUUUUUGCUAUAAUCAUUGUUUCAGGAACGAUAGUGCAAUGAUAACAACAGUAAUGAACAAUAUUAUAUUUCUAGGAUAGCUUUACUUUAAAAUCUCCGAACAUAACUGCGUGCGUAGUUAGAAAAAAAAAGAUAUACUUCAAACGUGUUUGAAAAUGAUGAACGAGACAUUCUCGAAGUACAAUAUUCUUGGAAUAACAAAUACAGAAUGACUGACGUAAAGCGCCAGAAGCGACCGUAGGAAGGAAGAUUUGUGCACAACGUGGAAGCAACGAAGGAAAGAAGAGUCAAAGAGUCUCACAGAGAGCGGGUGUCUCAUUAACAUUCAUAGAACUUUAUAUCCGCAGAAGAAGAUAUUAUUAUUCGGCGAAUUUUAUUCUUGGACGAUGUCAUAGUACCGCUGUAAAACGUAGCCCUACAAGAAGGCUUCGCGUCAAAUUCAUUAGAAUAUGGAAAUGAAAAUACGCUGGAUAUAAAUGGUAAACCUUGGAGAUGGCUUUACUACCACAUUACAAGAGAAUCGAACGUAGAAAAGAUGCUGGUCGAAGACCUCUUUCUCUUUCUCUUCCUCUCUCUCUCUCUCUCUCUCUCUCUCUCUCUCUCUCUCUCUCUCUCUCUCUCUCUCUCUCUCUCUCUCUCUCUAUCUAUCUAUCUAUCUAUCUAUCUAUCUAUCUAUCUAUCUAUCUAUAUAUCUAUCUCUAUCUUAUUCCUUUCUUCUUUUCGAUUUUCGACCACGAAAAACUUUCACAUAGAUGAAACCGAAGGUCGAUGUCGAUAGCAAACGUAAAUUCUGUUCAGCCUGGAUCAAUAUACGAGUGAACUUGAGAAAAUCAUUUAAUAGAAAUACAUCUUAAAGGAUUCAAUUGGAAAGUCAAAUACGAAUAUAUAUAAAGCCUAGACAGAAGAUAAAUUCGGAGAUGUACGAUGCAUUCGUUCAAUGGGGCUCGUUCCGCGUAUUCAUCCAUAAUAUUGAAAAUUACGUAUUCACUCCCGAACGAGUCAUGUAAUAGCCUUAUGUAAUAGUCAUUUCGAUUUCAGAAAAAUCACGUUUUCCAUUGAGCAAGUACCUAUUUUCUUCAUAUUUCUUCGUUUACGAAUAAUACUUAAUAUAUUGGAUCACUUUUAUAUUUCUCGGCUCAGAAUUUAUUCUUGAGAUACACACCUCGAAAUUAAUCGCGCGAGGUUAAAUUAGGUUUGAAACAAUUCGCAUUGAAUAUAGUCAAGUUAUAGUGUGUGUGUGUGUGUGUAGGAUCGAGGAGUUUUUGAUAAUACCGCUUUAAUCGAUCGCAUUGUACGUGCGCAUUUCUGUUUUUCCAACGACUCGAUAACGUAAUUUUUAAAAAAUCGUUUUUAUGGCUUUCCGUGUCGUUUCAACUUUACUUCAAAAUGAAAUGAAAUUUUCCAACUAAAUGAAAGACGACCGAAACUUUAUAACAAGGAAGUUAUAUUAUUUAUUGAGCUUCUUUGUUUAAGUUCUUUAUGAGUAUUUGUAGGUUCGAUAGAAGCAAUGAUCGAAGAACAGUUCAGUUCAUUCUACGCUGCCGUAGAGAACGGUUCGAGAUGAGAUUAAGGCGAUCGAGUAUUGUGAUCAAUACCAUUAACUUUUUUUUUUUAUAUUUCAUCUAUUAAAUGUUAAUAAAAUAUGUUAAUAAAAUAAAUUCUACAAAAUUUGAAGUGCUUCUCCGUGUUCGGAAAAUUGUUCGUCAAUUACGAAUAAUGCAGCAAAAUGUAAACAACAAUUGCGGCAAGCAUUAAAGGAAGAAUUUGCCACCAUUGCAGAUCACCAUACGGUACAUACGGUAAAGGAGUUAUCACAACGGAAUAAAAAACCUAAUGAAUCAUAUAUCACGCAUACAUAUAUAAGAUGCUUGAAAUUGCAUAAGCCGACGUAAUUAAAUAUGUUAUCAAAGGUAUUCGAUAGGAUGCUUUAAAUAAAACAAUAUUAAGCUGGGCGAAGACAAUAUAUGAACUAAAAAAAAGUUAUAUGAUUAUAAAGUUAUAAAUACGAGAUUAUAAAAAAAGAAGGAAAGUUGGGAAUGAAACAAUCGAAGUUGGAAGAAAAAAAUGAACCAAAGGAACGCGAAGGAUACGAAAAGAUGUUUCAACUGCGAGAUUAAGCAUCAUUCGGGGUAAGUGUUAUGCAAUGAAGGACAAGGAUGCUAUUUCAAUCAAUAUGAACACGUAGCUAAGUUUUGCAAGAGAAUUGUAAGUACGUCGAAAGAAACCACAUGUAUAGCAGCAAAAACAAAAAAAAAACAAAUAAAAAUCGCGGAUUUACAUUUUGUUGGCAUCAUAGAUACCGGCAGCGAUUUAAGUUUAAUAAAUCAAAAUUGUUACAAUAAAAUAGAUUGUCCGAAGUUUAAUAGUAACACAAUAAAUUUUGAUAGCUUACACGCACUAAAUAAUAGUAUGUGUGAUUCAUUUAUAAUAGGUAUUAUUAUUGACGGCGAAGUAUACGAAAUUACAUUCCACAUUGUAGAUAAUAAGAUAAUGAAACAUGCAGUCUUGAUCGGCGCCGACUAUUUAAGUCAAGUUGAACUUUACUCCGUACAAAAUCAUGUAACGAUUUAAAAACUUCCUGAAAUAUUAAAGAUUGAUGCAAUUGCAGACACGUAUCCAUCUGAUCUUUCAUAUACCUCGGAGAAGGAUGUAGAACGGAUAGCAAAAAUCGUUACAGAGAAUUAUGAACCUGAAAAGACGCGAGAAGUCCGUGUAGAAAUGAUUGAUUUAAUUAAUUUUUGAAGGAUGAAAUUCCAAUUUAUCAAAUACCACACAGAUUGUCUCAAUUAGAAAAGGAAGAAAUAGAUAAAUAGAUAAAUAUAUGAUUAGAUAAUGGUAUUGUAAAAUCUUACAAUUGCGGGUACACAAAUCUUAUCGUCUUAGAAAGACAUCGAAAUUUGUGUAGAUUUCUGAAAGUUGAAUAAAAAAAAUCAUAAAAGAUCAAUAUCCAUUUCUAUUGAUUAAAGAUCAGCUAGACCGUUUAUAAGAUGCGAAAAUUUUCAGUACACUCGAUUUAGAAAAAGGAUUUCUUCACGUUAAGAUAGUCAAAGAAAGUCAGAAAUAUACUUCUUUUAUUAUUCCAACAGGUCAAUACGAAUUUAUAUAGAUGUUUUUCGAAUUUUGUAAUUCUCCCGUUGUCUUCCAGGAAUUUAUAAAUGCCGUAUUUAAGAAUUUGAUUUUUUACCGAGUUAUAUUAAAGUGAUUCUCUUCCUAUGUGUUUGCAAGGAUUGUAUCCUAACGAAUGACGAAGACAUGAUCGUAAUCAUGUAUCAGCUUCGUGGCCCAUUUCUAAUGUUUUUGAAUCCUUGGAAAAAAUUCAAGGAUUUCUACAGUUUGCUGGAUCAGACUACGUUGUCUUACAAUUAGUUACGUAGACUAUUAGCGGAGCCUGGCAAUAACAUUUUCAAGCCUAUACACUAUAGCCUAUGAUGUAAAGCACGACGCUACGAAUUUAUUACUAUCUUUUCGUUACGUAGUUUUCUUGUUACAAGACGUAAAUAUAUCUGUUAGUUUCUUCUAAAUAAUAUUAUGAUCAUUGUAAUACUUUUAUUACAAUAAAUUGUUUUAGGCAGAUGCAAAAACAGUAAUGAACAUAACGUCAGUCAAGUAUGAGAGGAGCAUCAACGUCUAUCUAGAAAUCGUACGUUUCAUUUCUCAUACGGAAUAGGUAUUGACUUCGUACCAGCUGUUCUGUAAAAAUUGACAAUCAUAUAUUCUCUGAUAUCUCAUUAUCAGCUCAGUUCUUCAAUUCACGUGCGCCGACAGCAUGAAGGCACAACGUAGUUACAUAACAAGCAUACCCACAUAUACAUGCAAUGAAUCGAGAGAAGAGAAUCUUCUAACGCGCUUAUAAUUCAUUCGUUUUUUCCGCAUACGUCGCUGAAAUCACACGUGUCUCGAGUAACAUUGAAUAAACAGCCUUAGCUUAUAUGGACAAUAUAAUUAUUCCUUUAUCGGAUAUCAAGAUAGGAAUCGAAAAUCUUAAACACGUAUUAGAUAUGACGAGUCAGUUCGGAUUAACUGACAUAUUAACUGACGAAAGUGUGAAUUUGUACAGGCAAAGAUUUAGGACACAUUAUAGAAAACAGAAAUAUACAAUUAUCAGCUGUAAGAUGUAAGAUGUGAGAUGAACGGCGUUAUGGAACUCUCAAUCCCUAAAUACAUCAAAGAUGUAUAGAACUUUGUCAGUCUUUCUAUUUCCGUAAGUUAAUCCGUAAUUAUUCCAUGACAGCACAAUCGCUAACGAAUGUUUUGGGGAAUAACCUACAAUUUUGAUCCAGAAAAGACGAAGAAAAGCAUGUCAAGAUUUAAUGCAUGAAGCAAGGUGCUAGCUUUACAUUAAUAUAGUGCUGAAAUUGAAAGAAAGUUACAUACAGAUGCCUCAAGAUUUGGUUUCAAGAUGGUGCCAUUUUAUUACUACGCGUGUGAGAGGACUACUCUAGCUGACGAAAAGUAUGCUAGUUACGAACUUGAAGUAUGAAUGUUCAUUUCAAAAUUAUUACCGAUUGCAAGGUUUUUAUUUUAAUCAUGAAUAAACGAAAUCUGCGUAUGCGUAUAGCUAGUCGGAAUCUUGCUUUAAAAAAAUUUAAUUAUGAAAUCGAACAUAGGCCAAGAAGAUCUAUGUUGCAUAUAGACAAAAUUAUCAGCCUCGAAGCAAUGUUUCUUAGUCGAAGUACUGGUCGAGCAUCGUUCUAGUUAACGUUUGGUAGUCAUAUUCGAUUAAAAUAAAAUUCACAAGUACGCCAAUUAAUCGAAAAGGAAUGGAAACGAAUAUUUGAGGAAGAAUGUUGAUGAUGUGCGACAAAUGGCUAGAGAAAAAACUGCUGAAAUCGAGAAAAAGAAUUUUAAAACUUUUAACAAAAGACAAAAAUCAGCGUCAAGAUAUAGUGAAAAAGAUCUCGAUCGAACGAUUCGUUUGUUUUAAAUCUAUCCUUAAAAUAUUUAUUUCUUAGUGGAAUGCUACAUGCGCACUGUCGACCACUAGAUUCAAAGGAAUAUAUGAACGCGUACGUAUUUGAUCACGGAGAACAUGAAAUCACGAACGAUUCAUUGACUCGGAUCUGACUGAUUUUUUGAUUAUUCGUCGACUUGAUCGCAAAGAUUCGAAUAAAAAUCCCGUUCCAGACUAUCCGAUGAUUCAACCUUUUCACGAAUCCUUCAUAAAUAAGAAUUUUGAUCAUGGACUCUAGUUCUAUUUUGUCUACGUAAUUUAUUCAGCGACCGCUCAACGAAAUCUCAAGAACAAGGAUUUUAGUUCAAUAUACCUGCAGGAUCUUCAAGAAUAUGCAUACAAUAUGAUACGAGCUUAAGCCGAAUUGGAAUCGAGCGUGGUGAAAGAAUUAUCGAGGAUAGUAAACCGAUAGGAUUUAGGAAAAGAAUCCGAGAAAAAGAAAAAAGAAAUGGUAGGAACCCUUUAAAGAUCGUACAGUGGAAUAUUACAGCAGAAUUCAUGAAAAAAAUUGGACCCUCAGUCUGGUCUGAACCGGAAUUCAAAUCCGGAUCUUUUUGCUUUCCGGACGACUGCUUUGGAUCACUAAGCUAUCCACAAGCCCUCAGUCUAACCUUCUCAUAAAUGCUUAUAAAUUAAAAAUGGAGAUACUCGACCCCGCAUAUUCUUAUAGCUUUCUUGUCCCCUGAAAUCAAAUGAUAGCGGCUUAGUAACGUUGUUUUGUAUAAACAUCCACUUUGGUAAUUUACAAAGGAAAAUUCGUUUCACGUAAAAAAAAUAUUAAUUUAUUAAAUUUCACAUUAAAAAUAUUAAGAAAAAAAUAUUAAUAUUUGUGUUUAUAACAUUUUUCUAAUUAUAUAAAUAAUUGAUAAAUCUUAUACCACACGAUAAUUCUAAUUAAACGAAGUAAAUUUUGUCUGAAAACUUUGUUUUUAUAUUUUACAGUUUGCUAGUAAUACAACAUAAAAUCGGAAAAUAGCCGGAUUUUCUAGAGUCAAUUUUACACCCUUGGAGCGACUAUGAGCAGAAAAAAAAUUGCGUGCGUAUAUAUAUGUAUGCUCUACAUAUCCCUACAGUUUCAUAAUUUUCUGAAUUUACGAAUUCAUUGAGAAUUCAAUUGAGAUCUUCUCUUAUUAGAUGUUCAUCAUUAGAGUAUAACAAUUAGAACCAAUCCUGAACGUUUUAUUAGACACUCUACAAUAUGCGGAAUAUUCCACAAAUUCCUUUGUCUUUCCUCUUUUCCUACGUAGCUUCAUUUUCAAAAAAUUGUACUGCGCUGCAACAAUUCGAGAACACAGUUUACACUUCGAGAUCGCGAAAAGGUAGAAUUGUCGGAAUACGAAAACGAAAAAGGGAUGAGUGCUAGAGGAGAGGAGAAAGGUAGAAAAAAUGAAGAGAUAAAAAAUUGAGAGGAUAGAAGGGAUUCUUGCGUGGGAAUCUCAUUACCCUUUCAUGAAAGAGACGAAGCCUUCCAGCUGCGUUGAAUCGAAGAUAGUAGCUCGAAUCGAAAGAGAAAGGGGGAUGCUUUGAAGCCGGAAGGAAAGACGAGGCUAACAAGUAGAGGGGGAGGGAAGAGAGAGAGAGAGAGAGAGAAAAUACCUUUUCUGUUUCUCUUUGUCUAUCUUGCGUCGCUAGACCUUUGUUUCGAGAAGUAACGAACUACAGUUCCUAGAGACUGGUAUAUUCGAUUCUAGUUUUCUGCACCAAUAGAACUCGUGAUGAGAGCUAUGUACUAAUAGUAAUUCUCGUAUAGACAAGAAGAAGUGACCACUCCAAACUAUCUUACAUACACGUUUUGCAAUUUGUAACGCUGCUUCUCGGCUAGGUUCUCGUAUCGUCGCAUCGUUGCUCAUCGUAGACCAAUAAAAGGGAAGGAAGUAAAAGAACAAAACAACAGAUCAAUAAGAGGGAAGGAAGAAAAACAAUAGUUCUUAUAUCGUUUCAUUCUUCAAAAAUCAAAAAAAGGACAAAAAGAAGAAAAAAGGAAUCUCAGAAAGAUAUCUAUCUUCGAUUAAUCGAUAUCUACAGAACGAUCGUAAAUGCUUAUUCGUCCGUAUGAAGUAAGACGUCCGUUUCUACAAGGAAGAAAAUUCAUGUAAUAAUUUUCUAAUAGAGGAAGUAGAGAGAAAGUGGUCAAUAGAGUCGCACGGUAAAUCCAUGCGCCACGGAUGGACGAACCUUAGGUAAAUAUGUGUGUAGCCGAGCACUUGAAACGAAAAGAGAUGGUAAUAUGGAGAAAGAGAGAGAAUGAGAGAGUCUAUGACGAAGAGAUAUAGAAGAGACAACGCGCGAUUAAUACGCGCGCGAGACACGCAAACACCAACGUUGUACGUGGCUAAAGUAAAUUGGUGGUCUGUGGCUGAUGUAUGGUGGAAUGAUAUUAUGAAGAGCUCGUCGACUCAUGCAUAUUCAUCCAAAUCCCGCCUUGCGAGUAAUGCUUGCCCUAUCUGAGCAUAGGGUUUAAUGUUCAAGCAUGUCGCGAAUAGAUCCGUGGAGACUCUCGUCUAUGAUCACAUUGAUGAUUUUCACUCAUUUUGUAAAGUUACAAAAAAAUUGGCUUUUUAUUUAAUUUUUACAAUUCAAAUAAUAAUUUGAAUGUAAAAGACUAAUCUAAAAAGCUAAUAAUAUCGGUUCCGUCAAACAGUAUACUUUAACGAAAAAUUUGCAAUAUAAAAGUUCAAAACAUAAGAGAAAAAUUUCAUGUAAAUUGUUGAAUCAACGUAUCUUCUCGAUCGAUGUUCGUUCUUCAAUCAAACAAAUCCUAUGCUACCAACUAACACGCUUGUAAACUCGAGGAUGAACAAUAGUAAACGAGUUCGAUGUUCCUAGAGAAUUUUCCAAAGUGGUAGAGUUGUGAAAUUGAUCCAAGUUAAAUAAACGUAAGGACUUGGGCACCCAUAUAACAAUUUAUUUUCUUCUUUCCUAUUUUAUUGCUAUUUGCGUAUUUGCCUUCAACAUGACCGUGACUAUUUACAGAGUUACUUUUGAAUGAUCCAGAAAAAUAAGAUAACGAGAAACAUUAAAAUAGAGAUAAAAAAAAGAGAGGAGGAGAGAAGAAAUAGAAACAUAGAGAGACAGAGAGAGAAGGAGAGAGAGAGAGAGAGGAAAAAACUAUACUCCAUGGUGGUGAAGAUGAUGGUGGUGGAGUGCGAUGGCAGUUCAGCGCGUAAGCAACGGACAGGUAAUCUGCAUGUCUAAUAAUCCGGGAAUCGUUCUCGAUGCAAAUACUUUCAUACCCCCGGUGUUCUGACAUUCAGCGCAUCGCAACGGAAGAAAAGAAAUAGUAAUAGAAGAAGAAAAAGAGGAAAACGUGAAAAAGGGCAGCUUAUUGGGCGAGGGUGAAGAGGAAAGAUUAUUCCAAGAAUUUCUUCGACCACCGUGCUGCCUCGUCCUCCUUGUUGUCGUCGCACGUAGCCUUACGCGAGACUCGAGAUUCUUCAUUCCUAGUUCUCUUCGAAGGAACGUUAGAGGAAUCGACAGCUUUGUAGAAAAUGUACGACCUUUUCUUUAGCAGGUGGACAACGUCGGCAAAGAUAGAACGAGAAAUAUGCUUCUUUUAAAAAAAGGAGGAAGAAACGCGAGCGCGAAAGGGUUAUGAACCCUCUUUCGCGUGGGUCCACGGAUGGAAUGCGUCAUUAAAGACUCUCAGCAACAUGGCACUACUACCAGAGAUCAAGUCUACGGCGCUGAAGUAUUCAUAGGUAUUAUAUUCGUGUCUUUGCAGGAAGUUAUAUUUUAACGGUCGUAAAAAGCCCGCGCGUAUAUACUUGCUCUCUUGGGUUCUGAAAUAAAAAAAGGCUGUUUGUACGAAGGUACGAGCGUGGUCAUGCAAAUACAAAGGUAAAGGCGUCUUUCUCCUCGUUGCCUCAACUCCUACCGUUCUUGGCUAAGCAUUUACGAAGAAGUGUCAUUGGAAGGUGCAACUACGACAUUCAGGAAAAGGAAAAAGAAAAACUGGGAGAAGAGACGUGGAAGGAUGAACGCGCUUUGGCAUCUCUCCAAUGUGUGUCUUCGUCGAUAAAUUUGUGGGCGAUUCCAACCAUGUCAAGGACACAAAGAGUUUAUAAGAAUAUUAAUUAACGAAGCAAAUUAAAAAUGCAUUUUCUCAGCUAUUGUUUCGAAUAACGGAUCAUGGUCAAUGACAAAACGUAAGAUAAAAAAACGUUAACUCGGAAGAUCAUUGCACGAUGGCAAAGAAAUAAAAGAUAAGAAAGAAAACGAAAGGGUAAAAAGCGAACAGUUUGAAAGGACGUAAUCGCGAGCAAAGAUGUAAUCGCGAAAAGGACGCGGGUUGCAUGGAGAAGGUCGAGAGAAGGCUACAAUUCGAAUACUACUCGGGAGAUGCAGAGCUUAUGAGAUUACGUGUAGUUCGAACAAACCCGUUUUUGCCCAUCUUACGACGAUCCGUAUAUAUACCUCUCUUCGCCUCUUCUCGAAUCCUCUUUGAGUUCCUUCUGCGUGUGUCAUUUAUGCGUGCAACCCAGACGCCGAGUUAAAAAUAACAGAAGCCAUGGUAUUUAUAGCAAACCACUAGUGGCGCCACGUAUAUAUACGUUAUAAGCUAUUUUCUUUCCUUUCCUUUCCUUUUCUCUCUCUCUCUCUACAUCCCUCCUACCCCUCUCAUGGUGGUAAUGAAACGUAAUAACGAAGAUCGCACGAGCAUCUUACCUCCGAUCUUGGAAACUUAAGUUACGAACGCGUUUAUGCUUGACAAUUAUAAAUAUAUACGUGUGCAUGUUCAUGAAGGACGUAUACAUACAUAGAUACGUUCGCUUUAAGACCGGCAACGAGUAUUAAAUAAAUCUAAAGAUUGCUCCAUUCAUUAAUUCUAAAACCAUCCUACGACCAUUUUGUAUCGCUUAAAAAUCACAUCGUUAUAAAGGUACUUAGAAGGAGAAAGAUAAGAUUAAGAGGAAAGGGGAAGGGGAAUAGUCGAGACUCUCAUAUUAUCUCGGAAGAUCAGGAUUACGUGCCCACCGAAACCCGUUCUCCGUCCAUCCUCGAGAGCUACCGAACCUUUCUCAUGGCACCCUGCAGUUUCAUAUCCCUUCUCGCAUUCGCGGUUUUAACCAUCCUUCGCUUUUUCUUCGCAUCGCACAAUUCAUAGUUAAUCAUGUACCCCAGAAAUAAAAUCUGACAAAACUUCUGUAAUUUUUUUGUUCGGUCCUUAUAAAAGUUUCGUUUAAAAGUUCUUUUUUUUCUUUAAUGUCCCAUAUAACCAAUUACAAUUGAUGGCGUAUUUUACAAGUAGCACAAAACAUUGAAAAGAAAGAGAAAAAAGAUUCGAAACAGAUCGAACAAACGCCCGUAACUGUGCAACCUGCGAUGCAUGCGAGCACAGGUUAGCUGAAGUGGAGCGAUGCGGUACGUUAGACGAGGAAAGAGAGAGAGACGGAGGAAGAAGCGGGUGCAUUGCGCUCAAGCAAGUGGCCUUGACGUGGGCCGAGUGGCGAGGGCAAGGACGACUGCUCGAGGAAGAUCUCUCUCUUUUUAUUCUCUUCUUCCCGCUCCCUCGAGCGCCAGCCACACGGCAGCAUCAAGCACGACAACGCGGUAAG
Vespula vulgaris is the source of this 11223-nucleotide long non-coding RNA. RefSeq lists it as uncharacterized. The record is from RefSeq and is a predicted model, not a curated record. Lineage: Eukaryota; Metazoa; Arthropoda; Insecta; Hymenoptera; Vespidae. The transcript is spliced from 3 exons.